Molecule: long non-coding RNA, 324 nt
Filed under: Nicotiana benthamiana
Lineage: Eukaryota; Viridiplantae; Streptophyta; Magnoliopsida; Solanales; Solanaceae
Description: long non-coding RNA (NBEN_LNC002800)
Source: RNAcentral
UUGAUUCCAAGCCAACUCUGAUAACCAAUCCAUGUAUUGAUUCUCCUGUCUGAACAAUCAACAAGUGUGCACACAAGAUAACACACUUAUAACAACCACCUCAUCUAUGAAAAUGCCAUUUAGCACACAUUUGCAUAAAUAAAGAAAAUUCUCUUCUUUCUUUUUUUUGAAUUUUUUAGUCCUGUAAAAACAAUUUUAUUAAUUUCCCAAGGAAUAACAAAAGACUUGACAAAUUUAACUAGACUAUAACAGACUCUAGCGUCAACUAAAUGACUGAAAUGAACAAUAGACUCAAAACACAAAAACAAAAAAACAAAAAAAAAA